RNAcentral lists this ribosomal RNA (301 nucleotides) under uncultured bacterium. Its description in RNAcentral is "partial 16S ribosomal RNA". It matches the Rfam family "Bacterial small subunit ribosomal RNA", at positions 509 to 807 of the family's 1533-position model. The record is from RNAcentral.
CAGUAGCCGCGGUAAUACAGAGGGUGCGAGCGUUAAUCGGAUUUACUGGGCGUAAAGCGUGCGUAGGCGGCUUUUUAAGUCGGAUGUUAAAUCCCUGAGCUUAACUUAGGAAUUGCAUUCGAUACUGGGAAGCUAGAGUAUGGGAGAGGAUGGUAGAAUUCCAGGUGUAGCGGUGAAAUGCGUAGAGAUCUGGAGGAAUACCGAUGGCGAAGGCAGCCAUCUGGCCUAAUACUGACGCUGAGGUACGAAAGCAUGGGGAGCAAACAGGAUUAGAUACCCCGGUAGUCCCUGUCUCUUAUAC